GCGGGGAUUGCCGAGCGGUCAAAGGCGCUGGACUUAGGAUCCAGUCCUUAGUGGUUCGGGAGUUCGAAUCUCCCUCCCCGCACCA
Molecule: transfer RNA, 85 nt
Filed under: Candidatus Heimdallarchaeota archaeon
Lineage: Archaea; Promethearchaeati; Candidatus Heimdallarchaeota
Also listed under: 4 other names
Description: tRNA-Leu
Rfam family: tRNA
About the family: Transfer RNA (tRNA) molecules are approximately 80 nucleotides in length. Their secondary structure includes four short double-helical elements and three loops (D, anti-codon, and T loops).
Source: RNAcentral